CAGCGCCACGAGUGGCAAUCACGAUUAUUGGGCCUAAAGCGUCCGUAGCCGGUUUGAUAAGUCUUUUGUGAAAUCGUUGGGCUUAACUUAACGAUGUGCAAGAGAGACUGUUAAACUUGGAACCGGGAAGGGUCAGAGGUAUUCUGGGGGGAGCGGUAAAAUGCUAUAAUCCCCAGAGGACCACCUGUGGCGAAGGCGUCUGACUAGAACGGCUUCGACGGUGAGGGACGAAAGCUGAGGGAGCAAUCCGGAUUAGAUACCCGAGUAGCC
Molecule: ribosomal RNA, 270 nt
Filed under: uncultured archaeon
Lineage: Archaea
Description: partial 16S ribosomal RNA
Rfam family: Archaeal small subunit ribosomal RNA
Source: RNAcentral